UUUAUCGGUCACGAUCGCCUUUCCUCUGGCUCGAGAAACAUUCUUCGUGUGCGAAAACAAAGCAGCGGGGACAGCAUCGAUAAUGAGCUCCGAUAAGUUUAAUACGAGGGUCUAUUCGCGAUCGCCUAAUUGUCACGGGUGCGCACGUCUCCGGAAUUGCUUCGGAGUAUUCCGAGGCCCUUUUUCCGGCUCGCCGGUACUGCGGUUCCAUUUUCGAUUCCCUCCGCCGUCGCAGUCCUUAAUUUUCGCCCUCUCCGCAUUCGAUCAUUCCCAAGUUCGCAUGCUCCGCUGAGGAGGCUCGUCGCCCUGCAACAUUUCCUCCCGAAUUCGAACGCGUGUCUUCUGCGAGCCGCGAUCCCGGUCGGCCUCGAUCGAGUCAAUUUUCCUCCGGGAAUGCCCCGUCUUUCGUCGCUCGAAAAUACAGUCGGAUCUCUGCCUCGGCACAUCGAUAUAAGCUCCCGACGAAUAUACGCACCUGUGCGGAAUGUACACGCGCGUCCAGUCCCAGGGUCAGGCGAGCACUGAGCGAAAAAAUUCUUUCAUCCGAGCGAACAUUCUGUUGGAGCAGCGAAUCCCAGGCUGAUCGAUCACCCCAAAAACUUUUGUUCAUUCAACCGUGUUUUCUUCGUUGGAAGAAUUACUCGUUCGAGCCAUCGAAUUCAGCGUUUUUAUAACCCAAACUUUUAGUUGAGUCAACGACUUUUAUUUCCGCUCUGAUUCCCAUCGAUCCAGCCAACAUUUUCAUUCAUCAAGAAAUACUUCUCUCAGGAGCAAGAAGCUCGAAAAUUUGCAUCGCGCGUGCAACACCCACAACCGCUUCUCCGUCUCAUUCGGCCGGCCAAAACCCCGCGACGCUUCGCAGCCUCACCUUUGCACGUUGUACGAACAUUUUCAAAAUCCCACUCAACACCCCGAUCAAUAAUUGUGCGUCGGCGAUAAUGCCGCCUCUUAACAGUCCCCUCGAAAAAGUCUCUCAUGCACCCAAAAUUCGGGCUUUCUCCACAGCGACCCGAGGUUUCAUACACGCCGAAUAAAUAUUGUUCCCGUACAUAAUUGUUUACCUGUGUAUAUAUUUCACACGUUAUCUCUCGGACAGAGAACAGCGUAUCGGGAAACAACGUACACGCCUGCCUGUUCUCCAUGCGCCUCGAUACACGUUUGUCCCAUAUAUAAACAUAAAUAUGAGCACACUUUCAGCUGACACACACGCGCGCGCGCUCGUGUCACUUCAUUCUCGCACUUGAGGCAAAACCCACGGAGCGUACGCUCGAAUCGUCCGGCUAUCGAUCCACGAGAGCCUUCCUUCUCGCUUUGUGCGCUCUCGCACCAACACUUUUGACAGAGACUGAAGAAUAGGAUGUAUAAUAAAAGGAGAAUUUCUUGUACAGCUCUGUGGAAAUAUGUAAGCAACGAUCCUUUUUUGCAUCGAGAAACAGAAGCUUUACGAAAAAUUCCUGCCUGCAUGGGAAUUCGAUACCGAUCUGCUACCUACCUACAGACAUCUUUCUAAUGCGGCUGUUUAGUCGUCGUGGCUGCUACGUGACGAAGAUGACGGAGUUGGAAGGAAAUCUGGUCAUGGCCGAAUAACGAUCAUUCGCAAACCGCCGCGAGGAUAAAUCAUUAAUGAAAAUCUUCAGGUCUCUCGGCUUUGAUGAAAAUUACCAGAGACGCGACAUCGCGUUAAAUGCCAGUUGAGAUAUUUCCUGAAGUGCAAUUCACUUAUGAACCUCCACGACGUCGAUUGCUGUCGUGCUUUUCAACAUUUACGUUGAUCUCGAGACCCCAGCACACUUCCUGUUCUCUUCGCGUAAAGCUCCCUCAUCUUGUAAGCCUCUGACUCUCGUGCGGAAUGGGAUGCGGAGGAUCGAGUGUGCUGCCUUAACGAAGGCCGGCAGCAUGGUGAUUUCGUGUAAUGUACUUCGUACUCUUAUUCACCGGAGCAUUUUUUUAUGACGAGACUUGUACGCGGUGAAAAAAUCUCUCUGUUUUUUUCUUGAUAACGUCAAAAUGUUCGUUUAUUAAAAUCUGAAUAUUUUUAUCGAGUUUAUCAAAUCGCUGGGAAAAGAAGGAAUAAAAUCGUGGCCGGUUGUUCCGAUCCCCCAUGAAAAGGAUUUAUAUUUAAUAUUGUAUGAAAAGUCUAUUCGACAUAUGUAAAAAAAUAUAUUUUUACGAAUAUA
Molecule: long non-coding RNA, 2177 nt
Filed under: Venturia canescens
Lineage: Eukaryota; Metazoa; Arthropoda; Insecta; Hymenoptera; Ichneumonidae
Description: uncharacterized LOC122406525, transcript variant X3
Source: RNAcentral